UACGAAGGGGGCUAGCGUUGUUCGGAAUCACUGGGCGUAAAGCGCACGUAGGCGGAUCUUUAAGUCAGAGGUGAAAUCCCAAGGCUCAACCUUGGAACUGCCUUUGAUACUGGGGAUCUUGAGUCCGGGAGAGGUGAGUGGAACUGCGAGUGUAGAGGUGAAAUUCGUAGAUAUUCGCAAGAACACCAGUGGCGAAGGCGGCUCACUGGCCCGGUACUGACGCUGAGGUGGCGAAAGCG
RNAcentral lists this ribosomal RNA (239 nucleotides) under uncultured bacterium. Its description in RNAcentral is "partial 16S ribosomal RNA". It matches the Rfam family "Bacterial small subunit ribosomal RNA", at positions 524 to 761 of the family's 1533-position model. The record is from RNAcentral.